GACGAACGCUGGCGGCGUGCCUAAUACAUGCAAGUCGAGCGAAUCAAUAGGAGCUUGCUCCUGUUGAUUAGCGGCGGACGGGUGAGUAACACGUGGGCAACCUGCCUGUAAGAUCGGGAUAACUUCGGGAAACCGGAGCUAAUACCGGAUAAUCCUUUUCCACAUAUGUGGGAAAGCUGAAAGACGGUUUCGGCUGUCACUUACAGAUGGGCCCGCGGCGCAUUAGCUAGUUGGUGAGGUAACGGCUCACCAAGGCGACGAUGCGUAGCCGACCUGAGAGGGUGAUCGGCCACGCUGGGACUGGGACACGGCCCAGACGCCUACGGGAGGCAGCAGUAGUGAAUCUUCCGCAAUGGACGAAAGUCUGACGGAGCAACGCCGCGUGAGCGAUGAAGGCCUUCGGGUCGUAAAGCUCUGUUGUUAGGGAAGAACAAGUAUCGGAGUAACUGCCGGUACCUUGACGGUACCUAACCAGAAAGCCACGGCUAACUACGUGCCAGCCGCCGCGGUAA
Molecule: ribosomal RNA, 512 nt
Filed under: uncultured bacterium
Lineage: Bacteria
Description: partial 16S ribosomal RNA
Rfam family: Bacterial small subunit ribosomal RNA
Source: RNAcentral